UCGUGGUUAGCUCAGUUAGUAGAGCGCUCCCUGGAAGUGGAGAGGUCCCUGGUUCGAUACCUGGACGAGGCG
RNAcentral lists this transfer RNA (72 nucleotides) under Ixodes scapularis (black-legged tick). Its description in RNAcentral is "tRNA-Undet for anticodon ???". The record is from RNAcentral. Lineage: Eukaryota; Metazoa; Arthropoda; Arachnida; Ixodida; Ixodidae.